Molecule: ribosomal RNA, 962 nt
Filed under: Ramaria concolor
Lineage: Eukaryota; Fungi; Basidiomycota; Agaricomycetes; Gomphales; Gomphaceae
Description: partial 28S ribosomal RNA
Rfam family: Eukaryotic large subunit ribosomal RNA
Source: RNAcentral
GGUAGGACUACCCGCUGAACUUAAGCAUAUCAAUAAGCGGAGGAAAAGAAACUAACAAGGAUUCCCCUAGUAACGGCGAGUGAAGCGGGAAGAGCUCAAAUUUGUAAUCUGGCGGUCCCAGGCCGUCCGAGUUGUAGUCUGGAGAAGCGUCUUCCGUGCCGGACCGUGUACAAGUCCCUUGGAACAGGGCCUCAUAGAGGGUGAGAAUCCCGUCUUUGACACGGACUGCCGGUGCUCUGUGAUGCGCUCUCGAAGAGUCGAGUUGUUUGGGAAUGCAGCUCAAAAUGGGUGGUAAUUCCAUCUAAAGCUAAAUAUUGGCGAAAGACCGAUAGCGAACAAGUACCGUGAGGGAAAGAUGAAAAGCACUUUGGGAAAGAGAGUUAAACAGUACGUGAAAUUGUUGAAAGGGAAACGCUUGAAGUCAGUCGCGUCUUCCAGGACUCAGUCGGACMCUCGUGUCUGAUGUACUUCYKGGUGUGACGGGCCAGCAUCGAUUUCGACSGUCGGAGAAAGSCUCUGGGMAUGUGGCACCUUCGGGUGUGUUAUAGCCCUGGRUCGUAUGCRACGGUCGGGAUCGAGGAUCGCAGCACRSCWUCAUUGGCMRGRGUUCGCCCACGCAMSGUGCCUUUAGGAAUGCUGGGCGYAAUGGCUUUAAGCGACCCGUCUUGAAACACGGACCAAGGAGUCUAACAUGCCUGCGAGUGUUUGGGUGGAAAACCCGGACGCGCAAUGAAAGUGAAAGGUUGGGACCUCUGUCGUGGAGGGCACCGACGCCCGGACCAGACCUUCUGUGACGGUUCCGAGGUAGAGCAUGUAUGUUGGGACCCGAAAGAUGGUGAACUAUGCCUGAGUAGGGUGAAGCCAGAGGAAACUCUGGUGGAGGCUCGUAGCGAUUCUGACGUGCAAAUCGAUCGUCGAACUUGGGUAUAGGGGCGAAAGACAAUCGAACCAUCUAGUGCCAC